CGGUAUCAAAAUACCAGACACGAUCCAGGGCAAUAACAGGCCUGAUUUCCACCUAGGGAGACAAGGGAGGGCCCAGCUGGGCCUCUUCACAGCAUCCGUGAUCGACCCCACCUGGCUGGAUGUUGCGGGGGCGGCAGGGCAGUCUCAGGCUUCCCGGCCAGAGCCUGCAGCCGGUAGCUCAUUGUGAAGCUGCUCUGAAGAACUCCCCUUUCCAGCAGCCAGUGUGCAUGAAGCCAGUUCACUCCCUCCUGGGGGUCGGUUUCAAGGCUUGCUCAGUCAUCUCUGGUGGUGUAGGUCUUUGUGUUCAGUUUUAUAAGUGGAGAAAACUGAAGAUGAUUCUGUUUACCUUACCCACCCCCUCACUUACCUCACCUAGCUCAGGGGCUGGGUAUGGGGUGGUCUCAGCCCAGGACAACCUUUUAAAUAUUAAACAUGGUACCAUGCGAUGUUUGUCAUACUUAUGACCUGGAGAAAUCAAAUGCGAUUACUCAGCCAUCUGAGCACAGACUGGUCACCCAGCAUGGAUUCAGUGAGCUUUUUCAUCUAAAUGAUGAAUUUCGUGGGAUGCUAAUAGAUAUGGAAUUCAUAAAUGGAACAGCUUAAGAGGGUGUUCUCAGCGGCAUGCCCAGUGAAAACUACUAUUGAACUUGACCUCCUGGAUAGGCCACUAUCCAUCCUGACUUCAUUGGCCAAACCCUGGGAUGCUGUAGCCUUGAAGUCGGCCUGACUCCAAGCAAAUCUAACUCUACUAGAACUCAAAGGAACUCACAGCAGUUUCCUUGGUGCCAUGAAGCCAAUGAACCCAUUUAGGACACGGAGAACAGCAUGCAACAUGAUCUGCAAGUUACUUGUCUGAAGUUCGGGGUUAUAAGGUCGAUGGAGGUGAGGAAACCGGCAUCUAACUAAAGGCACCAGAGGCUGAAGCAAGGAAGAUGCAGGGGAGCUACUGCCUUCCUGGCUCUCCCAGGUCAGUCAGGAGGUCCUUGCAAUAACUGGGGCGAGACUGGUGUGUUGGAACUGUCCCAAAAGAGGAUGUGGGAAGUGAGAGGAGGGAUGGAUCAGUGAGGGGUCAAGGAGAGGGAGGCGUCAAGGACGGUGGUGGUGGUGCCAGUGCCCCAGGUUUGGCGGGGAGCAGGGCGGACUCACCUUCCCCAUCCUGGAGGAGGGGCAGGCAGUGAGGUCACAUCCCUCCCCCGGCUGUCUCGGCAGGAACCAGCCAUUGUUUGUCAGCCUGUGCUGUCCCAGGAGCUGCGGCUUAGAAUAUUAAAAUCUUUCUCAGGUUUAUCUCCUCCCCAUCUCGCUCAUUUGAAAUCCCUGCAACUGGGGGGAGAAAGUUACUUUAAUCCUCUGGUUCCUAU
Molecule: long non-coding RNA, 1358 nt
Filed under: Homo sapiens (human)
Lineage: Eukaryota; Metazoa; Chordata; Mammalia; Primates; Hominidae
Description: HSALNT0164933
Source: RNAcentral